UGAGGAAUAUUGCUCAAUGGCCGAAAGGCUGAAGCAGCAACGCCGCGUGAGGGAUGAAGGUUCUAUGAAUCGUAAACCUCUGUAGAAAGGGAGAAAUUUUCGCCUCAGGCGAGUUGAUAGUACCUUUAAAGUAAGCCCCGGCUAACUACGUGCCAGCAGCCGCGGUAAUACGUAGGGGGCAAGCGUUGUCCGGAAUCACUGGGUGUAAAGGGUGCUCAGGCGGAUUUGUAAGUCGUUGGUGAAACUCUGCAGCUUAACUGCAGAACUGCCUAUGAUACUGCAAGUCUAGAGUGCGGGAGAGGGUGAUGGAAUUCUUGGUGUAGCGGUGAAAUGCGUAGAUAUCAAGAAGAACACCAGUUGCGAAGGCGGUCACCUGGCCCGAUACUGACGCUCAAGCACGAAAGCGUGGGGAGCAAACAGG
RNAcentral lists this ribosomal RNA (421 nucleotides) under uncultured bacterium. Its description in RNAcentral is "bacterial SSU rRNA". It matches the Rfam family "Bacterial small subunit ribosomal RNA", at positions 355 to 776 of the family's 1533-position model. The record is from RNAcentral.